AUUGAACGCUGGCGGCAGGCCUAACACAUGCAAGUCGAACGAGUGGCGGACGGGUGAGUAAUGUCUGGGAAACUGCCUGAUGGAGGGGGAUAACUACUGGAAACUGUAGCUAAUACCGCAUACCAUCGGAUGUGCCCAGAUGGGAUUAGCUAGUAGGUGGGGUAAAGGCUCACCUAGGCGACGAUCCCUAGCUGGUCUGAGAGGAGGAACAGCCACACUGGAACGGAGAAACGGUCAAGAAGCCUACGGGAGGCAGCAGUGGGGAAUAUUGCACAAUGGGCGCAAGCCGGAUGCAGCCAUGCCGCGUGUAUGAAGAAGGCCUUCGGGUUGUAAAGUACUUUCAGCGGGGAGGCGUUACCCGCAGAAGAAGCACCGGCUAACUCCGUGCCAGCCGCCGCGGUAAUUC
RNAcentral lists this ribosomal RNA (406 nucleotides) under uncultured bacterium. RNAcentral's name for it is "partial 16S ribosomal RNA". It matches the Rfam family "Bacterial small subunit ribosomal RNA", at positions 30 to 526 of the family's 1533-position model. The record is from RNAcentral.